UUCUGUAGUCAAAUUCCAAAGGCGAACUCAAAUCGUAGGCGAUCGGCUUCAAAUCUUCCGUUCGUGAUAAGCAAACACCAAAUCCUAGUUCGUGAUGAUCUUUAAAUUGUUCCUGACACACAAAAAUCUGAAAUCUGUCAAGUUCAAGAUCAAGCUCUCAAGCCCUUGAACCAUCAUUUGUGAGGAGAAGAAUCAAAGGACUACGUCUCUCUAGAUUUGAGAUAUUCGAGAGAUUGUAACCCAUUACUUAAAAUCAAAUAUAAUAUAAGUCAGUAAAUUUCUUGUCUUCAUUAUUGUAUUUCAGGAAUGAAAUUUAGUUGUUAUAAUAUUUUCGCAAUUUUCGAC
RNAcentral lists this long non-coding RNA (345 nucleotides) under Nicotiana benthamiana. Its description in RNAcentral is "long non-coding RNA (NBEN_LNC031854)". Lineage: Eukaryota; Viridiplantae; Streptophyta; Magnoliopsida; Solanales; Solanaceae. The record is from RNAcentral.